This 625-nucleotide ribosomal RNA is filed under the name uncultured bacterium. Its description in RNAcentral is "bacterial SSU rRNA". The stretch from base 1 to 536 matches the Rfam family "Bacterial small subunit ribosomal RNA", at positions 338 to 873 of the family's 1533-position model. The record is from RNAcentral.
CCUACGGGAGGCAGCAGUAAGGAAUAUUGGUCAAUGGACGCAAGUCUGAACCAGCCAUGCCGCGUGAAGGAUUAAGGCCCUCUGGGUUGUAAACUUCUUUUAUAGGGGACGAAAAAAGGGCAUUCUUGCUCACUUGACGGUACCCUAGGAAUAAGCACCGGCUAACUCCGUGCCAGCAGCCGCGGUAAUACGGAGGGUGCAAGCGUUAUCCGGAUUUACUGGGUUUAAAGGGUGCGUAGGUGGGUUGGUAAGUCAGUGGUGAAAUCUUCGAGCUUAACUCGGAAACUGCCAUUGAUACUAUCAAUCUUGAAUCAUCUAGAGGUAAGCGGAAUAUGUCAUGUAGCGGUGAAAUGCUUAGAUAUGACAUAGAACACCAAUUGCGAAGGCAGCUUACUAUGGAUGUAUUGACACUGAGGCACGAAAGCGUGGGGAUCAAACAGGAUUAGAUACCCUGGUAGUCCACGCCCUAAACGAUGGAUACUCGACAUUUGUGAUAUACUAUAAGUGUUNUGAGNGAAGANAUUAAGUAUACCACCUACGGAAGUACGACCGACGAGUUAGUAACGUUAAAGUAAAGUUAGUACGGCGUGAGACGUAGCCGACGGACGACGACGAGGGAGGAGGG